Picea glauca (white spruce) is the source of this 3290-nucleotide non-coding RNA. NCBI's taxonomy places the organism in Eukaryota, Viridiplantae, Streptophyta, Pinopsida, Pinales, Pinaceae. The record is from Rfam.
UGACCCCAUCUCAGGUGAGAAAACCCACUGAGUUUAAGGAUAUAAUUAAGCGGAGGAAAAGAAACUUACAAGGAUUCCCCUAGUAACAGUGAGCAAACUGAGAAGAGCCCAGCAUGAAAAUCGGGUGGCAGCGUCACCUAAAUUGUAGUCUGUAGAAGCAUCCUUAGAGAUGGACCGGGCCCAAGUCCCCUGGAAGGGGGCGCUUGAGAGGGUGACAGCCCCAUUGGGCCGGGACCCUGCCGCACCACGAGGCAUUAUCAACGAGUUAGGUUGUUUGGGAAUUCAUCCCUAAUCGGGUGGUAAAUUCCAUCCAAGGCUAAAUAUGGGUGAGAGACCGAUAGAGAAAAAGUACAAUGAGGGAAACAUGAAAAGGACUUUGAAACAAGAGUUAAAGAGUUCUUGAAAUUGCUAGGAGGGAAGCAGAUGGAGGCUGGUGAUGUGUCUCGGUCAGAUGCGGAAUGGCUCAAGCUAGUCCACCACUCAAAUCGAGGUGCAAACCAGCACAGGUCGUUGCAUCGGCACAAGCGUGGGUGGAGUACUGCCUAUUGGUUUAUCAUUGUGGUAGUUGAGGAACAAAGUGUGCACCCUUGGGGCAGGCCACUGUGCACCUGCACGCUCGUGGUGUUGGUUGGCGGGAUUUCCAUUUGACCUGUCUUGAAACACGAACCAAGGAGUCUAAAAUGUGUGUGAGACGGUGGGUUUUUAAACCUGUGAGGCAUAAGGAAGCUAACGGGCAAGAACCCCUCUCCAUGGGGUGCAUUUUCGACCAACCUUGAGCUUGUACGAAGGGUUCAAGUGCAAGCACACCUAUUGGGACCUAAAAUAAGGUGAACUAUGCCUGAGCAGGGUGAAGCCAGAGGAAACUCUGGUGGAGGCCCAUAGCAAUAUUGACAUGCAAAUCGUUUUUCUAACUUGGGUAUAGGGGCAAAAGACUAAUCGAGCCAUCUAGUAGCUGGUGUCCUCCGAAGUUUCCCUCGGGAUAGCUAGAGCUCACGUGCAAAUUUUAUCGGGUAAAUCAAAUGAUUAGAGGCAUCGGGGGCUUAACGUCCUUGACCUAUUCUCAAACUUUACGUAGGUAAUAUGGUGUGACUGCUCCAUUGAGCCGUGCCACAGAAUCGAGAGCUCCAAGUGGGCCAUUUUUGCUAAGCAGAACUGGAAAUGCGGGAUGAACCGAAAGUCGAGUUAUGGUGCCAAACUGCACGCUAACCCAGAUCCCACAAAGGGUUUUGGUUGAUUAAGACAGUAGGAUAGUGGUCAUGGAAGUUGAAAUCCACUAAGGAGUGUGUAACAACUCACCUGUUGAAUCAACUAGCCCCAAAAAUGGAUGGCACUGAAGAACAUGACCUAUACUCCAUCGUUGGAGCAAUUUCCAAGCUUCGAUGAGUAGGAGGACACGAGGGUCAUUGAGAAACCUUAGGCGUGAGCCUGGGUGGACCUAUCGCUAGUGCAUAUCUUGGUGGUAGUAGCAAAUAUUCAAAUGAGAACUUUGAAGACUGAAGUGGGGAAAGGUUUCAUGUGAACAACACUUGGAAAUGGGUUAGUUGAUCCUAAGAGAUGGGGAAGCCCUGUAUCAAGGGUGCACUCUACAGGAACAUCGAAAGGGAAUCAGGUUAAUAUUCCUGAACUGGGACAUGGCGGCAGACGACAAUGUUAGGAAAUCCAGAGACAUCGUUGGGGGCCCCGGGAAGAGUUAUAUUUUAUUUUUAACAGCUUGCCCACCCUGAAAUUGGCUCAACCAGAGAUAGGGUCCAGCAGCUGGAAGAGCAUCGCAUGUCUCGUAGUGUCCAGUGCACCCUUGGCAGCCCUUGAAAAUAUGGAGGACCUAGUACCAUCCAUGCUUGGUCGUACUCAUAACCACGUCAGGUCUCCAAGGUGAAUAAACUCUGGUCAAUAGAACAUUGUAGGUAAGGGAAUUCGGCAAAACGGAUCCGUAACUUUGAGAAAAGGAUUGGCUCUAAGGGCUGGGCCUAGGGGUAUGCAUUCUCAACCUGUAGGCUAUUGGCAGUUUACUCGAGUUGCUAUCACGAUGAGGGUGGGCAGUCGCGUGUCGAUUGGGCUACGGACAUAGAAUGUCCCCUCGCGGGGGCUUUUCCCUAGGCGGGGAACAGUCGACUCAAAACUGGUAUGGAAAAGGGAUAUCCGACUGUUUAAUUAAAACAAAGCAUUGCGAUGGUCCCUACGGAUGUUGAUGCAAUGUGAUAUCUACCCAGUUCUUUGAAUGUCAAAGUGAAGAAAUUCAACCAAGCGUGGGUAAAUGACAGGAGUAACUAUGACUCUCUUAAGGUAGCCAAAUGCCUCGUCAUCUAAUUAGUGACGCACAUGAAUGGAUUAACGAGAUUCCCACUAUCCCUAUCUACUAUCUAGCAAAACCACAGCCAAGGGAAUAGGCUUGGUGGAAUUAGAUGGGAAAGAAGACCCUGUUGAGCUUGACUCUAGUCCGACUUUGUGAAAUGACUUAAGAGGUGUAGAAUAAGUGGGAUCCAUUUUUGGUGCAAGUGAAAUACCAUUACUUUUAAUGUUAUUUUACUUAUUCCAUGGGGUGGAUAUGGGGCAUUGCCCCUAUUUUUUUCCUUAAGACACGUUUUGACGGGUCGAUCCAUGCGGAAGACAUUGUCAGGUGGGGAGUUUGGCUGGGGCGGCACAUCUGUUAAAAGAUAAUGUAGGUGUCCUAAGAUGAGCUCAACGAGAACAUAAAUCUCAUGUGGAACAAAAGGGUAAAAUCUCAUUUGAUUUUGAUUUUCAGUACGAAUACAAACAGUGAAAGUGUGGCCUAUGAAUACAAACAGGGAUAACUGGCUUAUGGUAGCCAAGUGUUCAUAGCGACGUUGCUUUUUGAUCCUUCGAUGUUGGCUCUUCCUGUCAUUGUGAAGCAGAAUUCACCAAGUGUUGGAUUGUUCACCCACCAAUAGGGAACGUGAGCUGGGUUUAGACUAUCAUGAGACAAGUUAUUUUUGCCCUACUGAUGAACCGUGCCGCAAUAGUAAUUCAACUUAGUACGAGAGGAACCGUUGAUUCACAUAAUUGGUCAUCGUGCUUGGUUGAAAAGCUAAUGGUGCGAAGCUACCAUGUGUCAGAUUAUGAAUGAACACCUCUAAGUCAGAAUCCACGCUAGAAGCGGAUCUUUUCACUCCUCAACUAUAUCUUGACCCAUAAUAGGGGUGUCACUUCGACACCCCCAGGGGACCGUGUCACUUGCGAACCUUGGGCGGGAAGUGUCUCUGUCGGGGUAGCUUUGAAAUUCAAUUUCAAACAGUCGUUGAGAAGAAUCCUUUGAAGUGUUUUUGAGUCUU